CGUGAAUGGGCCACAACAUCUAAAGGAACUGGGGCACCUGGGAGUUUUCAUUUCCAUUAUUUCACUUGGAGCCAGUGGUUUUCAGAGCGGGGGGCCAGUGGCACCACAGAGCUGCCUGUGAGUAGAAGGGGAGAUGCAUCUGUCCUGUUGUGGGUUAAAUUGUGGCCCCCCCAACCCUCCCCUGCCACAAAAGAUAUAUGAGAGUCCUAACCCCUGGGAACAGUGACCUUAUUUGGAAAUGGAGUCUUUGCCGAAGUAAUCAAAUUCAGAUAAGGUCCUAUUGGAGUAGGUGGACGCUUCAUCCAAUAUGACUGCUGUCCUUCAAGAAGACAGAAAUGUGGAAACAGACACACAGAGGGAUCGCCAUGUGGGAUGCACAAGGGAACACCAUGAGAGACUGAGUCAGACACUGGAGUGAGCAGCUACAACCCAGGGAACCCCAAGGAAUUGCUGGCCACCACCAAAGCCCAGAGAAGCAGGGCAAGCCUCUACCCAGGGUUUCAGAGGGAGACGGCCUUGCCAGUCUCUUGGUUUCAGACUUCCAGCCCUCAGAUUGUGGGAAAACACAUUACUGCUGUUUUCAGCCAUACAAUUUGUGGUACUUUGUUAGGACCACCUUAGGAAAUGAAUAUGCAUCCUAACAGGACAACUUCGAUUCCAAGUCUCGUGUGGUGGGGCCAAAGAGCCCUUGCCCUGGAGUCACACAGACCCUGAUGUGCAGUGGGGAUCCCACCAUGCUGAACGACUUGCCCCAUUCUCCCAGAGCUACGGGACCACGAUGCCCCCCGUCACAGGUUGGAGGGAAAGAGUGAACGAGGUCCGGGCACGGUGUCUCUCGCCUGUAAUCUCAACACUUUGGAAGGCCAAGAUGCGUGGAUCACUUGAGGGAUAAAAAUAGAGUUGCUGUGAAGAUGAAGUAAAUGAAGACAUGCUGAGAACUCAGAACAACGCUUGGCAACAGUAAUUGUUUAAUACGU
RNAcentral lists this long non-coding RNA (977 nucleotides) under Homo sapiens (human). RNAcentral's name for it is "HSALNT0317981". The record is from RNAcentral. Lineage: Eukaryota; Metazoa; Chordata; Mammalia; Primates; Hominidae.